GCGGGCGUAGUUCAGUGGUAGAACGUCUGCUUGCCAUGCAGAAGGCCGUGGGUUCAAGUCCCAUCGCCCGCUCCA
Molecule: transfer RNA, 75 nt
Filed under: Candidatus Aminicenantes bacterium ADurb.Bin147
Lineage: Bacteria; Candidatus Aminicenantota
Also listed under: 2 other names
Description: tRNA-Gly
Rfam family: tRNA
About the family: Transfer RNA (tRNA) molecules are approximately 80 nucleotides in length. Their secondary structure includes four short double-helical elements and three loops (D, anti-codon, and T loops).
Source: RNAcentral